Molecule: ribosomal RNA, 832 nt
Filed under: uncultured eukaryote
Lineage: Eukaryota
Description: bacterial SSU rRNA
Rfam family: Bacterial small subunit ribosomal RNA
Source: RNAcentral
GAGGAAUAAGCAUCGGCUAACUCCGUGCCAGCAGCCCCGGUAAUCGGGGGAUGCAAGCGUUAUCCGGAAUCAUUGGGCGUAAAGCGCCUGUAGGUUGUUUAAUAAGUCUGUUGUUAAAGACUGGGGCUUAACCCCAGGAAACCAAUGGAAACUACUAGACUAGAGUAUGGUAGGGGUAAAGGGAAUUUCUAGUGUAGCGGUGAAAUGCGUAGAUAUUAGAAAGAACACCGGUGGCGAAAGCGCUUUACUGGACCAUUACUGACACUCAGAGGCGAAAGCUAGGGUAGCCAAAGGGAUUAGAUACCCCUGUAGUCCUAGCCGUAAACGAUGGAUACUAGAUGUUGCGCUUAUUGUGCAGUGUCGUAGCUAACGCGUUAAGUAUCCCGCCUGGGGAGUACGAUCGCAAGGUUGAAACUCAAAGGAAUUGACGGGGGCCCGCACAAGCGGUGGAGCAUGUGGUUUAAUUCGAUGCAACGCGAAGAACCUUACCAGGGCUUGACAUACUGCAAAUUUUCUUGAAAGAGAAACGUGCCUUCGGGAAUGCAGAUACAGGUGGUGCAUGGCUGUCGUCAGCUCGUGUCGUGAGAUGUUGGGUUAAGUCCCGCAACGAGCGCAACCCUCGUUUUUAGUUGCCAUUUUAUGGGUUCUCUAGAAAGACUGCCGGUGACAAACCGGAGGAAGGUGGGGAUGACGUCAAGUCAGCAUGCCCCUUAUGCCCUGGGCUACACACGUGCUACAAUGGCUAAGACAAAGAGUCGCGAAUUCGCGAGAAUCAGCUAAUCUCAUAACUUAGCCCAAGUUCAGAUUGCAGGCUGCAACUCGCCUGCAUGAA